CGCAAUGGGCGAAAGCCUGACGGAGCAAUACCGCGUGAGGGAGGACGGCUCUUGGGUUGUAAACCUCUUUUAUUAGGGAAGAAGUUCUGACGGUACCUAAUGAAUCAGCAUCGGCUAACUCCGUGCCAGCAGCCGCGGUAAUACGGAGGAUGCAAGCGUUAUCCGGAAUUAUUGGGCGUAAAGCGUCCGUAGGUGGCGAUUCAAGUCUGUUGUCAAAGCGUGCAGCUUAACUGCAUACGGGCAAUGGAAACUGAGUGGCUAGAGUGCGAUAGGGGUGACGGGAAUUCCCGGUGUAGCGGUGAAAUGCGUAGAUAUCGGGAAGAACACCAGCGGCGAAAGCGCGUCACUGGGUCUGC
Molecule: ribosomal RNA, 356 nt
Filed under: Leptolyngbya sp. K10
Lineage: Bacteria; Bacillati; Cyanobacteriota; Cyanophyceae; Leptolyngbyales; Leptolyngbyaceae
Description: bacterial SSU rRNA
Rfam family: Bacterial small subunit ribosomal RNA
Source: RNAcentral